Molecule: ribosomal RNA, 518 nt
Filed under: uncultured bacterium
Lineage: Bacteria
Description: bacterial SSU rRNA
Rfam family: Bacterial small subunit ribosomal RNA
Source: RNAcentral
AGAGUUUGAUCCUGGCUCAGGAUGAACGCUAGCUACAGGCUUAACGCAUGCAAGUCGAGGGGCAGCAUUGGAGUAGCAAUACUCAGAUGGCGACCGGCGCACGGGUGAGUAACACGUAUCCAACCUGCCGCUUACUCGGGGAUAGCCUUUCGAAAGAAAGAUUAAUACCCGAUGGUAUAAAGAGUUCGCAUGUUCUCUUUAUUAAAGAAUUUCGGUAAGCGAUGGGGAUGCGUUCCAUUAGAUUGUUGGCGGGGUAACGGCCCACCAAGUCUACGAUGGAUAGGGGUUCUGAGAGGAAGGUCCCCCACAUUGGAACUGAGACACGGUCCAAACUCCUACGGGAGGCAGCAGUGAGGAAUAUUGGUCAAUGGACGAGAGUCUGAACCAGCCAAAGUAGCGUGAAGGAUGACUGCCCUAUGGGUUGUAAACUUCUUUUAUAAGGGAAUAAAGUGAGGGACGUGUCCCUUUUUGUAUGUACCUUAUGAAUAAGGAUCGGCUAACUCCGUGCCAGCCGCGGC